Non-coding RNA from Molossus molossus (Pallas's mastiff bat), 405 nucleotides. Lineage: Eukaryota; Metazoa; Chordata; Mammalia; Chiroptera; Molossidae. The record is from the annotation of a RefSeq genome assembly.
AUGGCUUGGACCCCUGUGAUCCUUUUGCUCCUCUCUCACUGCGCAGGUUCCCUGGCCCAGCCUGUGCUGACUCAGCCGCCCUCCCUCUCUGCCUCUCCUGGAGCCUCAGCCAGACUCACCUGCACUCUAAGAAAUGACAUCAGUGUUGGUAGCAAAUAUAUGUACUGGUUCCAGCAGAAGCCAGGGAGCCCUCCCCGGUUUCUCCUGAACUUCAAGACAGACUCAGAGAAGCACCAGGGCUCGGGGGUCCCCAGCCGCUUCUCUGGAUCCAAAGACACCUCGGCCAAUGCGGGGCUUCUGCUCAUCUCGGGGCUGCAGCCUGAGGACGAGGCUGACUAUCACUGUGUGAUCUCAUAUGAGAGUGCUUCUCACAGUGACACACACAGAUGGGGAAGUGGGACAUAA